UAAGUCCCGCAACGAGCGCAACCCUUGUCGCUAGUUACCAUCAUUAAGUUGGGGACUCUAGCGAGACUGCCUCUGCAAGGAGGAGGAAGGCGGGGAUGACGUCAAAUCAUCAUGCCCCCUUAUGACCUGGGCUACACACGUGCUACAAUGGACGGAUCAAAGGGAAGCGAAGCCGCGAGGUGGAGCGAAACCCAAAAACCCGUUCUCAGUUCGGACUGCAGUCUGCAACUCGACUGCACGAAGUUGGAAUCGCUAGUAAUCGCGAAUCAGAAUGUCGCGGUGAAUACGUUCUCGGGCCUUGUACACACCGCCCGUCACACCAUGAGAGUUGGUAACACCCGAAGCCGGUGGCUUAACCGCAAGGAGAGAGCUGUCUAAGGUGGGACUGAUGAUUAGGGUGAAGUCGUAACAAGGUAUCCCUACG
RNAcentral lists this ribosomal RNA (424 nucleotides) under Coprobacillus cateniformis. RNAcentral describes it as "bacterial SSU rRNA". It matches the Rfam family "Bacterial small subunit ribosomal RNA", at positions 1081 to 1506 of the family's 1533-position model. Lineage: Bacteria; Bacillati; Bacillota; Erysipelotrichia; Erysipelotrichales; Coprobacillaceae. The record is from RNAcentral.